RNAcentral lists this ribosomal RNA (405 nucleotides) under Triticum aestivum (bread wheat). RNAcentral describes it as "partial small subunit ribosomal RNA". The record is from RNAcentral. Lineage: Eukaryota; Viridiplantae; Streptophyta; Magnoliopsida; Poales; Poaceae.
AUGGAAAAUCAGUGGUCAUUACAAUGGUGGUUUCUUCAGAAUGCAUUCUCCGUAAUAUUUUUUGCAACUAUAGAAAAUGUGCUGCACCUAAUGGAUUGGUGGUCUGUUAUUCCAUUUGUACAGCCAGCUCAUGCCUUUGAUCCCAAGCCUAUUUUUCAGACAGAAUGCGCAGCAGUAGUGUCUUGGUGGCUUACAACUCAAGAGAUGUGCUAUUUGUGUCAGACUGCAGUGCUCAGUUACAAGAUAUGGUGCACACAACCUGAUGGGAAGACAUCUUCUGUUGCUGAAGCUAGUACUUGUGGCUCACUGAAUUGGAUCAAGCUAGUGGUGGCGGAGCAUCAGUUCUUCACACAAAGCGCCACCUCCCAAACAGCAGAUGUCACAGAACAAUGGACCAUUAUAUGA